RNAcentral lists this ribosomal RNA (497 nucleotides) under uncultured bacterium. RNAcentral describes it as "partial 16S ribosomal RNA". It matches the Rfam family "Bacterial small subunit ribosomal RNA", at positions 28 to 507 of the family's 1533-position model. The record is from RNAcentral.
GAUGAACGCUGGCGGCGUGCCUAAUACAUGCAAGUCGAGCGAACAGACGAGGAGCUUGCUCCUCUGACGUUAGCGGCGGACGGGUGAGUAACACGUGGAUAACCUACCUAUAAGACUGGGAUAACUUCGGGAAACCGGAGCUAAUACCGGAUAAUAUAUUGAGCCGCAUGGUUCAAUAGUGAAAGACGGUUUUGCUGUCACUUAUAGAUGGAUCCGCGCCGCAUUAGCUAGUUGGUAAGGUAACGGCUUACCAAGGCAACGAUGCGUAGCCGACCUGAGAGGGUGAUCGGCCACACUGGAACUGAGACACGGUCCAGACUCCUACGGGAGGCAGCAGUAGGGAAACUUCCGCAAUGGGCGAAAGCCUGACGGAGCAACGCCGCGUGAGUGAUGAAGGUCUUCGGAUCGUAAAACUCUGUUAUUAGGGAAGAACAAAUGUGUAAGUAACUAUGCACGUCUUGACGGUACCUAAUCAGAAAGCCACGGCUAACUACGUG